GAUUAAGGGUAUUUCCACAUUCUCCCUCACCUGACUGAGGGGGAGUGUGGGUGCACCAGUUACACUAUCACAUCCAGAGAUCAAAAGGCUUAGUUAUUCAUAUUUUUGGGAUCCCAAAGAAAUGUUUUCAAGUCUUCGCAUUCUAAAUACUUGAGUGACAUUGUAUUUUAAAGCAAACUUAUAGCAAAACUUUCAGGUAUUCUUUGGUAAAAUUAUCAAAAUUCUUUGGUAAAUUCAAAAAUCGUGCAGUACAUUCAGCAGAAAAAUAUUGACUUGCCAUGGUGAUACAGCUUGCACAUGUAUAUAUCUGAGGUUGUAGUUCUCUUACCUCAGCAUUUCCUUCUAGCCACUAGCAAACACACGUCUAUACUUCCUUAAAGUGUGACUUCCAAUAUACAUUGGAGUUGUAGGUAAGGGGAGAUCACUCCUGACAGAAGAUAUUUUGCAUGAAUUAUAUGGUGAUUUUUUUGUGUCCACUGCUGUGAAGUUUUUCAGUUACACGACAGGUUGUAAGCCUUUUAUGGGAUUAAAGCUGGAUGUGAUACAUUUUUGUAGACAUGUACCACUUUGGAGUGCCCAACAGACAGAACUGUGCUCAGUGAUUUACUACACCUUGGACUUAAACUAAAAUGUCUACAA
Long non-coding RNA from Haliotis rubra (blacklip abalone), 639 nucleotides. RefSeq lists it as uncharacterized. The transcript has 2 exons. NCBI's taxonomy places the organism in Eukaryota, Metazoa, Mollusca, Gastropoda, Lepetellida, Haliotidae. The record is from RefSeq and is a predicted model, not a curated record.